Isoptericola dokdonensis DS-3 is the source of this 368-nucleotide non-coding RNA. It matches the Rfam family "transfer-messenger RNA". From Rfam's summary of the family: Bacterial tmRNA, also known as 10Sa RNA or SsrA, is named for its dual tRNA and mRNA-like properties. Its role is to liberate the mRNA from a stalled ribosome. The record is from Rfam. NCBI's taxonomy places the organism in Bacteria, Bacillati, Actinomycetota, Actinomycetes, Micrococcales, Promicromonosporaceae.
GGGGCUGAUCGGUUUCGACGGUGGUCGUGCUUCCAGGAGAAGCGGGCCGAGGAUGCAGGCUCAUCUCGUGAACGCUUGCCUGCAAACCUAUAGGUGCCGAUAACAAGCGCACCGACUUCGCCCUCGCCGCCUGAGCGAGUCCCGAAGUCCGUGAGCCCGGGAUCGCUCUCGACCCGGUAGCUCGCGUCAUCUAGAGAGCCACUGCUCGUCGCCCUCGUCACCGGGGCGGCGGGGACUUUCAGGUGACUGGGCCCGUCCGCACCUUGUCUGCGUGAGUGCGGGGGCCGAGAAAAGCACAGCAGACUGCGCCCGGAGAAGUCCUGGAACAGCGUCACCGGACCGGGGUUCGAUUCCCCGCAGCUCCACAG